AUGAGGAAAUUCAACAUCAGGAAGGUGCUGGACGGCCUGACCGCGGGCUCGUCCUCGGCCUCGCAGCAGCAGCAGCAACAGCAGCAGCAACACCCGCCGGGGGCCCGGGAGCCCGAGAUCCAGGAGACGCUUCAGUCUGAGCACUUCCAGCUCUGCAAGACCGUUCGCCAUGGAUUCCCCUAUCAGCCCUCAGCCCUGGCCUUUGAUCCUGUACAGAAGAUCCUGGCAGUGGGAACUCAGACCGGUGCUUUAAGACUCUUUGGUCGUCCAGGAGUGGAAUGCUACUGUCAGCACGACAGUGGAGCAGCAGUGAUCCAACUCCAGUUCCUGACUAAUGAGGGAGCCCUUGUGAGUGCCUUGGCUGAUGACACCUUACACUUGUGGAAUUUACGUCAGAAAAGGCCUGCAAUACUACAUUCACUUAAAUUUUGCCGAGAAAGGGUUACAUUUUGCCAUCUGCCUUUCCAGAGUAAGUGGCUCUAUGUGGGCACCGAACGAGGAAAUAUACAUAUUGUCAACGUGGAGUCCUUCACCCUCUCAGGCUAUGUCAUUAUGUGGAAUAAAGCCAUUGAACUGUCAUCUAAAUCUCACCCAGGACCUGUUGUCCAUAUAAGUGAUAAUCCCAUGGAUGAGGGGAAGCUUUUGAUUGGCUUUGAAUCUGGAACAGUAGUGUUAUGGGACCUCAAGUCAAAGAAAGCUGACUACAGAUACACAUAUGACGAGGCUAUUCACUCUGUGGCUUGGCAUCAUGAAGGAAAACAAUUUAUUUGCAGUCAUUCAGAUGGUACUUUGACCAUAUGGAAUGUGAGGUCUCCUACUAAGCCUGUACAGACAAUCACACCUCAUGGAAAACAGUUAAAGGAUGGGAAGAAGCCCGAGCCCUGCAAACCUAUCCUCAAGGUGGAAUUCAAGACAACUAGAUCUGGGGAACCUUUUAUUAUUUUAUCAGGAGGUUUGUCAUAUGAUACUGUAGGAAGAAGACCUUGCUUAACAGUGAUGCAUGGGAAAAGUACUGCUGUGCUAGAAAUGGACUAUUCUAUUGUUGAUUUCUUAACACUCUGUGAAACACCAUACCCAAAUGAUUUUCAAGAACCGUAUGCUGUGGUGGUUCUUCUAGAAAAGGAUUUAGUACUUAUAGACCUUGCACAAAAUGGAUACCCUAUAUUUGAAAAUCCUUAUCCUUUGAGUCUACAUGAGUCCCCUGUUACAUGUUGUGAGUAUUUUGCUGAUUGUCCCGUGGACCUUAUUCCUGCACUUUAUUCAGUUGGAGUUAGACAGAAACGUCAAGGUUACAGCAAAAAGGAAUGGCCCAUCAAUGGAGGUAACUGGGGCUUGGGUGCUCAAAGUUACCCAGAAAUAAUUAUUACAGGGCAUGCUGACGGGUCAGUUAAAUUCUGGGAUGCUUCUGCAAUAACUUUACAAGUAUUAUAUAAAUUAAAAACAUCGAAAGUAUUUGAAAAGUCAAGGACUAAAGAUGACAGAGCAAACACGGACAUUGUAGAUGAAGAUCCCUAUGCCAUUCAGAUCAUCUCCUGGUGCCCAGAAAGCAGGAUGCUGUGCAUAGCUGGAGUGUCGGCUCAUGUCAUCAUCUACCGAUUCAGCAAGCAGGAAAUGACGACAGAAGUUAUCCCGAUGCUUGAAGUUCGACUGUUAUAUGAGAUAAAUGAUGUGGAAACUCCAGAGGGUGAGCAGCCACCACUUUUGUCCACCCCUGUGGGCAGUUCCAACCCUCAGUCCCUUCCUCCUCAGUCUCAUCCAUCUACCAGUAGCAGCUCAUCUGAUGGCCUUCGUGAUAAUGUACCUUGUUUAAAAGUUAAAAACUCACCACUUAAACAGUCUCCAGGUUAUCAGACAGAGCUGGUUAUUCAGUUGGUAUGGGUGGGCGGAGAACCUCCACAGCAGAUCACCAGCCUGGCACUCAAUUCUUCCUAUGGACUGGUGGUUUUUGGCAACUGUAAUGGCAUUGCAAUGGUUGACUACCUCCAGAAAGCAGUACUGCUCAACCUGGGCACUGUUGAAUUAUACGGCUCAAAUGAUCCUUAUCGGAGAGAACCCCGAUCACCUCGUAAAUCUCGACAACCCUCAGGAGCGGGCCUGUGUGAUAUUACUGAGGGCACGGUUGUCCCAGAGGAUCGCUGCAAAUCUCCAACUUCUGGUUCUUCAUCCCCACACAAUUCAGAUGGUGAACAAAGAUCGAGUAACUUUAUAGAAAAGGUGAAGACCCAAAGCAGAAAGCUUUCCAAGAUGGUAGCCAGUGACAUAGCAAAGAUGUCAAGAAAGUUAAGCUUGCCAACUGACCUAAAGCCUGAUUUAGACAUGAAAGAUAAUUCCUUCAGCAGAUCAAGGAGUUCAAGUGUAACCAGCAUUGACAAGGAGUCCCGGGAAGCUAUCUCUGCUCUUCAUUUCUGUGAAACUUUUACUCGAAAGACAGACUCCUCUCCUUCCCCAUGUCUGUGGGUAGGAACUACGCUGGGCACAGUGCUUGUCAUCACGCUCAACCUUCCCCCAGGGGCAGAACAGAGACUCCUGCAGCCAGUGAUUGUGUCUCCGAGUGGUACUAUAUUGAGGUUAAAAGGCGCAGUUUUGAGAAUGGCAUUUCUGGAUGCCACAGGCUGCUUAAUGCCACCUGCAUACGAACCCUGGAAAGAACACAAUGUUCCAGAAGAAAAAGAUGAGAAGGAGAAGUUGAAAAAGCGGCGGCCUGUCUCAGUGUCACCCUCCUCUUCUCAGGAAAUUAGCGAAAACCAGUACGCAGUGAUAUGUUCAGAAAAGCAAGCGAAAGUUAUCUCACUGCCAACCCAAAACUGUGCUUAUAAGCAAAACAUCACUGAGACCUCGUUUGUGCUUCGUGGAGAUGUUGUUGCUCUGAGUAACAGUAUCUGUCUGGCCUGUUUCUGUGCCAAUGGCCAUAUUAUGACUUUCAGUUUACCAAGCUUAAGACCUUUGUUGGAUGUUUAUUACCUGCCCCUGACCAAUAUGCGCAUAGCCAGAACAUUCUGCUUCACCAACAAUGGACAAGCAUUAUAUCUGGUUUCACCUACAGAAAUCCAGAGACUUACAUACAGUCAGGAGACCUGUGAAAAUCUUCAGGAGAUGCUGGGUGAACUCUUCACUCCUGUAGAGACACCAGAAGCACCAAACAGGGGCUUCUUUAAAGGCUUAUUCGGAGGUGGUGCCCAGUCUCUGGAUAGAGAAGAGCUAUUUGGAGAGUCAUCUUCGGGGAAGGCCUCAAGGAGCCUUGCACAGCACAUCCCAGGUCCUGGGGGAAUUGAAGGUGUGAAAGGAGCAGCUUCCGGAGUUGUCGGGGAAUUAGCACGUGCCAGGUUGGCCCUGGAUGAAAGAGGGCAGAAGCUUAGUGAUUUGGAAGAGAGAACUGCAGCUAUGCUAUCCAGUGCAGAUUCAUUCUCCAAACAUGCUCAUGAGAUGAUGCUGAAAUACAAAGAUAAGAAGUGGUACCAGUUCUGACGGCCAGAUCCAGUAAGUCCAGCUUCAGCGAGAAAGGAAAUCUCCUUUUUGAUUUCAUUGGUUUAUUUAGGAGAGUUAACAUGAAAAGGAUGCUCAUCACUGACAACUGUUCUUUCCUAGCACAAUCAUGCACUGUUUUACCUCAGUCACAUGGCUUUACUUAAGAGGAGCUGACACACACAAGCUGGAAGAUGUGGUGUGUGCUGACUGGGAGUUGACAAAGGGGAACCUAACAGGUCACAUGUGACAGAUGAAGAAACAAAGGAAUGUUGAAACGUGGCAGGGACUAGUCCUUGGAUCAUUCCUCUAUUUAAACUUUCAUAUGCCAAAAGAGUCUGUGCUGUUGUAUCUGCCAUCAGUGUUUGAUCUGACUGGGGGGAGAGGCAAUAAGUCAGAAAUUCCCAAGCUGAACAAGGGUCCUUUGUGUCACUGGACUGGAUUAUGAGCAGCUGUCGUGGACCCUCUCUUAAACUGAUUGGUCAUCAGUAUCCUUAGUGGGAAAGAAACAAACUGUUUGUUACCAUACUUUAGACUAAGCUGAAGGGUGGGCUUUAAAUAAUCACAGCAUACACACAGUUGACUUGUGUGUGCACUACCCUUGAUUUGUUAUUAUGUACUUGUGUUCAGUUCAUAUUGUCAAAAGCGAAACUGCGAUACAUCACUUUUCAUUGAAAAGAAAAGUGUAGAGCAUGACUGAGUUGCUCAUCUUCUGGAAGUUUCCAUGUAGUAGCCAAACAGUGUGGAAAGUGAGAAAAGCCUCCAUUGUGGUGAGGAGAAUACUUCAUUGUCUUUUGUCCCGGUUCUCAUUGAUUCAGAUAAAGGUAACUGACUAAAAUGGUUACUGUUUAAAUUUGUAGAAAAGUUGAAAUUGGCUAAGUUUUUAAUUUUGCUUGAAUUUUUAUAAAAUGUUUAACCAAAUGUACCUUUGCAUUAUUUAAUUAAAAUUGCUAAAACAACAAUGUUUCCUUAUUUCAGUGAAAUACUCAGCUCCCUUUUUAAAAUGUCCUUUAUUUGCUGACAUUUCCAAUACACUCAGGAGAUGAGCCAGUACAAUCUUAGUGCACAUGCUGUCGCAUGGAAACUACAAGCAUUUUUUGUUAGUACUACAUAAGAGUCUAGUCAGAUGACCUACAAAAUAUUUUCUGUAGAAAUAUUCUAUAAAUCUGUACAUAUUCUUUCAAGAUAUUAAAAGCAAAAAGGAAAGAAAAAAUAUGUACACUUGGGUAACUAAAUUAUUUCUGUAAUAGAGAUUAAUUAAUGCCCAUUGGACAAUGAGUGAUUGGUUCCUUAGUAGCAUUACAGAGGGAGAGAAAGCACCCCAGGUAUCAGGAAGUAAGUAGGCCAGUCUAAGAGUAAGCACUGUAAAAGCUUCACAGAGGGAGUGACCUGGAAGCAUUCAAAUUAAUGUUAAUGAAAUUUAAAUAUUGUCUUCUGUGAAAAACUUUUUAGUAGUUUUCCUUUUUCAUUAAGAGAUAAACAGAGCACAAAUUGACAGAAGACGUGGUUGUUUUCUCAUUCGUUCCAUGUGGCAAGGACCUUCAGGUCUGCAGAGCACCUUCCCUUCUUUACACACUCUGUUAUGUACCUUCUCUUUCCUCGUUCCAUUAAUAAAGCUUUUGUUUACAUUUUACAAUGUGCACUACUUGAUAUAAACGUUUACAUCAAAAUUUAAGUAGCAUGGGGUAGAGACUAAAUAUAUGUGAUAAAGAUCAUUGAUCAAGGCAAAAAUGUUUUAAAACCACUAUCAUUUUCAAAAGUUUUGAAUCUGUAGAAAGUGGAUAACAUUUCUGUUUCACUUCAGCUCUCUGGUGAACAUUCAGCAAUUUACAAAUUGCUUAAUUUGCAUUAUAUAUUGUCCUUAAGCCCAUGUUCCAUGAUACCUCAUAUGAAAGUUUAGGUCCUUUUUAAAGGUAUAGUUUUAUGAAUAUCAAUAAAGUCAAGAGUUACAGAGUUUUCAAAUGUUGAGAAGUAAUGACUAAAUUGAUAUACUGGUUGACACCGCAACCAUGUGGAAGGAUGUAUGAGCAUCAGCUUUUUAAUUUGCUGUUAUUUGUAUGUCAAGUUCAUUUUUAUAGUCACUUUUUCCUGUUGUAUAUAAAAUGAAUCAAACUUGUAAUUACGUACUAAUAGAGACGUAGAUGUAUUUACCUGAGAUGGAUUUUAUAAGAACUUCUUAAUUUAUAAUUUUAAAUUAUUUGAUUCAUUUUUAAAUAAAUCUACAUAUUGUGCACAGUGAGCUAGAGGCUAGGAUAGAAAGUAUAAAAAUAUUUUUGAAUAUAGAAAAUAAGUUUCUCAGAGUUAUGCUUGAUUCUGUCUGUAAAUAGGAAACAGUCUAUUAUAACUAACCCAGGGUAUUUAAGGUGAGCUAAGAAAUAAUUUUUUUUUUCUCUCUCUCUCUCUCUCUCUCUCUCUCUCUCUCUCUCUCUCUCUUUUCUGUCUUUCUCUUUUGAUGAAAAAGGCAGUAGUCACCAGCAAGCAAAAAUUUCAGGAAAGCUAACCAAAAAGAAAAAAUAGUCAAAAUAGAAAAUAUCAGAAAAUUAACAAAGAAUUCAUAAAUUUGUGCGUGUAUAUUUUCUCUCAACACUGGUCACAUCUGUCCUUGAUUCUGAAGUUAAAGUAUUCCUUGAUUAGCUGUUUGUCAACAGGAAGUGAUUUCCCUUUGUGUACCCCACCUAUCUAGUUCAUUUGAGUUUGCAAACUAAAAUCUGUGUAUAUUGUCUUAGAAUGUUAUUUGAAAUCUUAUAUUCUGUCAAAAUCUAUAUAUACAUUUGAAAUAUUGCAUCAUCUUAAUACUUGUUUGCAUUUGAAUCAUACUGUGUUUCUAAAAUAUUGGUUGUAAAUUCAGAAGAGCCUUUGUUAAUGUCUUAAUUUGGGGGUUUUAUGGAGAACAACACUGCUGCGUCUACCACUGUGCGCAGGUGGAUUUCCGUUUCAUCGAGAAUCCUACUUCCAGGAGCUUCUCCUUUACUUAGAACUUGUCACUUGUUGGUUCUCUCGAAGCUAAGAUCAAGUAUAUGUGAGUGUUUGAAACAAGUCUGAAAGUGUUACCUACUUUUAGGUUGAGGGGGAUGCUGGGAGAUGGCUGCGGAACUGAAGACUGUGGACGACACCACGGAGUUCCAUGUUUCACCCUGAGUUUUGUAUUCACACCAUCUGUGUUUUGCUUAAGGCAUUUCGCAUGCAACAUUAGUAAAGCUAUAUCCAAAGCGUUAGUUCUCCUGGAUUGAAAUUACGCCCGAUGCUCUUCCGAUGUGAAGCUGAGUUCACGUGAAGCUGCUGCCCACAGCUCGUGAACUGCUCUCGUCACUCUGCCCUGCUUUCUGUACAGCCUGCCUGUACGGGAACGGCCUGCUCUGCCCAGUGAGCGCACUCCUCACUGCCUGCGAUGCUGCCAUCUGGGGACAAAAACAAUUGUUAAAGCUCCAAAAAAGGGAAAGUAGCUUACCUUCUUAGCUGAACUACAUGGUCUCAAUUCCUUCCCAAUUAACAGAUUUUGUACCAUCGCUUUCCUAGUACCGUCUUGAAAUUAUUAGGCACAGUUAAUUUAUAAAUUGAGAAGUCAUGCAGAGCUUCUAUAAAUGCUCUUUAUAUUCUCUUCAGAAAAACCACGAAUGUCAGAACUGCCAGUAUUUUGCAAUGAGACUCAGUUUAAAACUAUAUAUAAAACAUGUAAAUAAAUCUUCAUUUAUUGUAGGUCAUUUGACUCAGGCAUUUAAAAUACAGAUUAAUCGCAAUGGAAUUCUCUUCUUUUGAGUUCGGUGUGUUUGUUUUAAUAUUACCAUUUGUUUUUGUUAUCUAAACUUUGCUUCCAUUGAAGGCAGUGUAAUGAGUUUCAAACUCAACAUAAAAAGUUGAUGCGAAGAUGAGAAAUGGUGGUUUGAUUUCUUUCCGUUUCUUUGUAAAUAAACAGUGCUGUGAUACUUUAGGCGUGACCUCUGCAACAUGGUAGGGAGAAUCAGGAAAAAAAUCUUUCUAGUUACACUGCUGGUUCAUUGUACGUGUGUUGCCAAAAGACAACUGUAAAAAGACCACGAUUUCCUUUUCCCAGCCUUGUGUACACAAGGGCAUGCUUGGUUAGAGCGCUAGCCUGUGUGUACCUUUGCCCCACACUGCAGUGUUCAGUUGAUACACUUUCUCUCCUUUAUUUUUGAUCAAUCCCAGUAACUAUCUCAAGAUAAUUACUGGAAUAUGCUUUUGAAAUGUUUUUUUAAAAAAAAAAAUAUGUGCACUGUUUUAUUUCAGAAAGCACUAUUGCAAACACUAAAAAUGUUCAAACUUUGUAGUUGUUUUGCAUUCCUAUAAUUUAUCAGUAAAAAAAAAACUGUCAUCACAGCGAAAGGUUUAAAAUUAGGUAAUGAAAUAUUUUUGUAAAUAAAUACCAUAAACUGGUAUUUUUUUUAAAUGUAUUAUAAAUUAAUGUUUCUGGGAAAUGUUGAUAUAUAUGUACGUGAAUGUCUCUGCUGAAGGGCUCCUACUGGGCAAAAUAAAAUACUCUUAUCUCUC
RNA transcript from Nannospalax galili (Upper Galilee mountains blind mole rat), 7968 nucleotides. It is a transcript of the gene named syntaxin binding protein 5, with no coding region annotated. NCBI's taxonomy places the organism in Eukaryota, Metazoa, Chordata, Mammalia, Rodentia, Spalacidae. The record is from RefSeq and is a predicted model, not a curated record. The transcript is spliced from 29 exons.